Long non-coding RNA from Beta vulgaris subsp. vulgaris (sugar beet), 784 nucleotides. RefSeq lists it as uncharacterized. The transcript is spliced from 4 exons. NCBI's taxonomy places the organism in Eukaryota, Viridiplantae, Streptophyta, Magnoliopsida, Caryophyllales, Amaranthaceae. The record is from RefSeq and is a predicted model, not a curated record.
AUUGAAAGAAUUGGAAGAUUGGCUUAUCGUUUAGAUUUGCCAAAUAACUUGGGAAAGGUGCAUAAUGUGUUCCAUGUAUCCCAACUAAAGAGAUAUGUGCCCGAUAAGUCUCACGUAUUAGAUCCCGAGAUUAUAGAAGUGGAUGAGACGCUUUCUUUUGAAGAGAGACCAGUAAAGAUCUUGGACUCUAAGGUGAGGAGUACAAGAAAUAAAGAUAUAAAGAUACUCAAGGUUUUGUGGUCUAACCAGCGUACCGAAGAGGCUACCUGGGAGGCUGAAGACGAGAUGAGAAAGAAGUAUCCUGAGCUCUUCGACUAGGUGAGUUGAGUUCCGGGACGUAACUCCUUUAAGGGGGGUAGAGUGCGUGCGCGCAUUUUGCUAGAAAUUAGUAAGAAUUUGUUGCAUUUGUGCACUAUUUUUAGAGUUUUCAAGGAAAACUUUUCAAGCAAAGAAGAUCUUGCAAUUAUCAAAGGGAAGCAAAGAGGUUUCAAGAAUAAUUAAAGCCAGUCAAACUUUUGACUGUUGAUUUUGUGUAAUCAAGAGUUUAGAGAAGAAGUUGCAGGUACAAGUUCUUGAUGUGCAUGGAAAUCAUAAGCAUCCGGAUGGGAGUUUUAGUACACGAGUACUUUCUUAUUUAAGUUAUCUUGAAUUUUAUAUUUGACUUUACUUGACCAAUGGGGUCAAGGUUUGACUUUUGAAAUGGGACUAGUAUGGGAUAGUCUCGGAGUUUGUAAUUCAUUUACAUGCUUUCUUAUUUCUAUUGUAUUAAAGUAUUUUCAGUUUA